RNAcentral lists this unclassified non-coding RNA (983 nucleotides) under Hevea brasiliensis (rubber tree). Lineage: Eukaryota; Viridiplantae; Streptophyta; Magnoliopsida; Malpighiales; Euphorbiaceae. The record is from RNAcentral.
UUUGUUGCUGAUUUGCUUAUUGCUGCUGAUGGUUGUCUGUCUUCAAUCAGACAACAUUUCCUUCCUGACCUUAAGCUGAGAUAUUCAGGUUACUGUGCGUGGAGAGGGGUUCUUGAUUUUUCCAAAAAGAAGCACUCAGAAGCCAUUAUCAACCUUAAGAAAGUGUAUCCAGAUCUUGGAAAAUGCCUGUACUUUGACCUGAGCUCUGGAACUCAUAGCGUAUUUUAUGAAUUAUUGAACCAUAGGUUCAAUUGGAUAUGGUACAUUAAUCAGCCCGAACCAAACCUCAAGGGGAAUUCUGUGACGAUGAAGGUUAGUGAAAACUUGGUUCAAAACAUGCAUGAAGAAGCUGAAAAGGCUUGGGUUCCUGAAUUGGUCAGAGUAAUUAAAGAAAUUAAGGAGCCUUUCCUAAAUGUAAUAUAUGAUUGUGAUCCUCUGGAGCAGAUUUUUUGGGACAAAGUGGUGUUGAUUGGAGAUGCAGCUCAUCCUACUACUCCUCAUGGUUUGAGAAGUACAAACAUGUCGAUACUGGAUGCAGCUGUUUUAGGCAAAUGCUUAGAGAAGUGGGAAGUGGAAAAUCUGAACUCUGCCCUUGAAGAAUACCAGUCUAUUAGGCUGCCAGUAACUACGAAGCAGGUUCUAUAUUCAAGGAGACUAGGUCGUAUUAAACAAGGUUUAUCACUUUCAGAUCAUUCGUCCUUUGAUCCAAAAGCUACAAGUCCAGAAGAUUGUGAAGAGCUUCAGCAGAAAAACAUGCCUCAUUUCUACGAUAUUCCUUCGAUAUUGAACUGAUGUCACUGGUUUUUAUCUUGGCCGGGUUAUUAAAGCAAUGUUGGAUGCUUAAUUGAGACGAGCAUUUUGUGUAUAUGUCCAUCUCGCAAAUGACUAUUCUGGUGCACAAACAUAUAGCAGGCCAGUGUUAUUGUUGUUGUAUCUGUAUAGAAAUCAUGAAUGUAGUAUAGUGAGAAUAAAGUUCAUACUUG